AUGAUUCAUAUUUCUAAACCACAAGUAUCAUACAAAAAUCCAAGACAAAGAUAUUACCGACUGAAACCGUGGCAAAGCGUAUGGUCGGAGAAGGGGAUGUCGAGGGAGGUUACUUCGGCGGGUUUUCAAACUUCUCAGGUAUUGAAGGCACUUGGAGGAAGAAUAGACCAAUUUUCUGCAGAAUUUAUGUUAUCCUCUCUUCCUAAUUUUCUCUUUUGA
Molecule: non-coding RNA, 219 nt
Organism: Vicia faba (fava bean)
Lineage: Eukaryota; Viridiplantae; Streptophyta; Magnoliopsida; Fabales; Fabaceae
Source: the annotation of a GenBank genome assembly